CUCUCCCAACCUGGAGGCAUACCUGUGUGAACCCAACCUGCGUGAAGUACCAUCCAUGGUGCUGAACCCAGAAAGUGAACAGAUGCUGAGAAAGGGGACAGUCAGAGGGGCUCCUUAGAGCAGAUGCUGGUGACUUCCUAGGUAAACCCCUCAAAGUGCUCUGAAGAGCAGGGUUCAUUCUGCCUUGCCUUUGUCAACUUACAGUUGCCUUGGUGGUGGUGGUGGUGUGUGUGUGUGUGUCCCUAACAUUGGUCGCCCAUAUUCAUCUUGUCAUUGGCCAAAGACCUCAGGCAUCUUUCCUCCUCUGUCAUUUCCAGCAAAUCAACUCUCUGCAGCUAAACCAAAGUAGUUAUUCUUAGUCCACGAGGGCACGACCUUAGACGCUGCACUAUCAGAUUUCAUCACAUUUACAAUGCCGUGCUUCAUGCCAUCAACCAGCUUGUCCUGUUCUUGUUUGUUUCUUCCGUUUUCCUCCUCUCCUUCACACUCGUCACAGAGAUAUCUUAAAUAUAGGGCCUAUUCAUGUGACCCUAUCAAGUCAUGUUAAAGGCUGAAAUGACUGACUGCUUGUUUCAUAAGAACACAAGAAGAGUCUUCCUGCUGGAUCAGGCCAAUGGCCCGUCUAACCAGGCAUCCUGUUCUCACAGUGGCCAACCAUUUGCCCAUGGGAAGCCCGCAAGCAUGAUCUGAGUGCAAUAGCAGCUCUCUCUUCACAUGUGAUUCUCAGCACGUGCUGUUCAGAUGUUGUGGAACUACAACUCCUAUCAUCCUCAGCCAUUGGCCAUGCUGGCUGACGCUGCUUAUAUAAGAACAGCCCUAUUGGAUCAGGCCAAAGGCCCAUCUAGUCCAGCACCCUGUUUUCACAGUAGCCAACCAGAUGCCUUCUGGGAAGCCCGCAAGCUGGACCUGAGCACAAGAGCUUCUCUCCUCCUGUGGUUUCCAGCAACUGGUAUUCAGAAACAUUGCUGUCUCUGACUGUGAACAAGUUUCCCACUUGUUUCUGCCACAGCCUAAGGCUUGUAAAACGGAUCAGGUGUUUAGCCCCUUUUGGAAAUGGCCCAAGGCAGGUGGAGGAAAGUAUAGGUACCCAGGACUGUCCCCAAUCCAAGUCCAUCUUAAAUUCUCACAGACCCCUGAUCCAGCAAGUAGACUCACCUGAUACCUUCAUUACAUAUCUUUAGAUGCCAGGCAAAAACAUUCCUCUUCUCCCAGGGUUUUGGCGAAUUAAUUUGGGGUAUUGUUUUUUAUUUGUUAUUAUGCUAUAUAUUUUUGUGGUUUUUAUAUGGUAAACUGCCCUGUGAUCUUUAGAUGAGGGGCAGUAUAGAAAUUUAAUAAAUAAAAAACUAAUAGGUCUGCGAAGGUUGGUUCCCACCAACCUCAGUCUGCCCUUAUCACAGCCCUCACUUGCCUGCCUUCUUACUUACAACCAGUCCACGAGGUGGUGACCCUGGCUGUCAACUUCCUCCUCCUCCAUUUCAGCGUUCCCCUUGUGGAACUCAACUUCCAUCCCACAGGUCCCAACAGGCACCAGCCGCCACUACUGCAAGUCUAUUUCAGCUCUUUGCUGGUGUUCCCCAGAACUGAUUCCCUCCUGCACCCAACUGCAGAAUACUUUGGUUCCAGCUCCCGUUAUCACUGAUGAAGCCUCAUCCUUUUGACAUUGUUUAGAUCCUCUGUUGCCUUUCCUUGGUCUUCCUCACCAUCUUUUAUUUUGAGAAGAUCAAGCUGCCUGUGUGUUAUUUAAAAGCCCCUGUGAGAUUCCCCUCUCUGACACUCUCCUGCCCUCUCUCCCCUUGCCCACCCCUGUAAAUAUUUUAGUACUUGUUGAAAUCAAUUGAGCCUCAUCAAUAGGAAAUAGAGUGUAAAUCAUUGGCCCUUUGUAUUCACCCCAGAAAUCAAUUUUCACACAUUAGAGCUAUUAGCUUAUUGAGAGGGACUUGAUGGACGACCGGGCGUGGAAGAUGUUGAUGGAGGAUCCACACCUUAUGGGCUCCACCUAUCAGCUGAGCCCAGAUGGCGAGACAAAUGGAGGGGAGAGAAAUGAGAAAGCAGAGAGGGAAGAAGAGGGUGGGGAAGCUGGAGAUAUAGGGAUGGAGAGAGAGAGAGAGAGAGAGAGAGAGAGAGCGCUCAGACAGAAUCCUGCCAGCUGAUCAAUACUAUCUACAAAGCAUUAACUCAUUCUGGAUGGGAUUGGAGAUGGCAGGGGGCUCAAAGCAAAAGUUGUUGUUGAGCAAGUGAUUUCCCUCCCUGCUCUGCAACUAACAUAAUUUAAGGGUGGUAGGCAACAGAACUUCUAAUGUUUAAUAAAACUAAUGCAGUCUUUUGAAGGAAAGCACUGGAAUGAGCAGAGUCCUCUAUGUGGUUCUUUGGGAAGAACCUUAGCUCAGUGGGAGAUGCCCUUGGCUAAAACACUGGAGAGCCACUGCUAGCCGGUAUAGGCAAUACUGAGUUAGAUGGAACCAUUGUCUGACUUAGUAUAAGUCACCUCCCCAUAUUCUACCUCUGUGGUUGGAGGCAGUGUGCCUCUGAAUACCAACUGCUGGAAACUGCAGGAAGGGAGAGUGCCGUCAUGCUAAUGUCCAGUUUUAAAGUUCCCCAAAGGCAUCUGGUUGACCACUGUGAGAACAAGAUUCUGGAGUAGAAGAGCCAGCUAACAGAAGAGCUGAUGUAAGAGAAAAUGAAGAGAAAUAUCAGGAACUACAACUAUCUCCAUACAAUUUGAAUGGCUUUAAAAGAGGACUAGACAGGGUCAUGGAGGGUAAGGCUAUCAAUGGCUAGUAACCCUGAUGGCUAUGCUCUGCCUCAACCAUCAGAGGCAGUAUACCUCUGGAUGCCAGUUGUUGGGAAUCCCAAGUGGAGCAAGUUCUGUUGCACUUGGGUCCUACCCGUGGGCUUCCCACUGGGCACUGGUUGGUCAACCCACUGCUUGACCAUUGUGAGGACCAGAUUUUGGAUUAGAUGGGCCUUUAGCCAGAUCCAUCAGGGUUCUUCUUAUGUUCUUACAAUGGAAGACUCCCAGGUCCUGGGACUCUGGGUCUAUCAACCUCCUGCAUUCAAAAACCAUCAUGGGCCCCACAUUCACUGCUUCCAAAAAAACCCCCUAAUCUCUGGUGCUAUUAAAAAGUUGCAUAUGAUUGAGCUGUAACAAGGAAACUGUUACAACCAAGGGUCUUCCAACCAAGUCCUACUUUUGGGUUUCCAACAGCCAUCUGUUUGGCCAUUUUGAGACUAGGAUGCUGGAUUAGAUGGGCUUUCAGCCUGACCCAGCAGGACUCUUCUAAUGAUAUUGUGGGGGUUUUGUUUUUUGUGCAGUUGAGGCAAGGGAGGCUGAAGUAUGCACACCAAUUUGCCAUAAUGAGCCAAACCAUUGGGCAUCCAAUCUCACCCAAAGCCUGUCAGUUUCCCUUGAAACGUAGCCAACAGCCUAUCACCAUCUAGUCCUGCAAUCCCAAACACAGCAUAGUAUUUCUCUGCCAGCCAGAGAUAUCACUGUGACCUACAUCACGCAUCUUGUUGCACGGAGUCAACAUUGCCUCGUACCGGUGGCAAAAUGCAGGAGCGGCUCCGCCUGACCGCGGAGAAGAAGAGGAACAGGACGGGAGCAGCAGUGGCCACAAUCAACACUCUUGUAUGAUAAAGCAGAGCUAAUGGAGAGGCCUGAGGUGGAGUGGGACGUGGCAACCGUCCCAAUGAUGUUUCAAGUGGAUGGAAAUCAGCCUCUCGCAGAGGUUCAAGACAAGGUCUGUGCACCACUUACAUCCCACUUGAGGCCUAUUUUAAGAUCUUAAGUGGC
Molecule: long non-coding RNA, 3793 nt
Filed under: Podarcis lilfordi (Lilford's wall lizard)
Lineage: Eukaryota; Metazoa; Chordata; Lepidosauria; Squamata; Lacertidae
Source: RNAcentral